This 501-nucleotide ribosomal RNA is filed under the name Dacus sp. DSP002. RNAcentral's name for it is "partial large subunit ribosomal RNA". The record is from RNAcentral. Lineage: Eukaryota; Metazoa; Arthropoda; Insecta; Diptera; Tephritidae.
CCUGUUUAACAAAAACAUGUCUUUUUGAGUUAAUUUUAAAGUCUGACCUGCCCACUGAAAUUUUAAAUGGCCGCAGUAUUUUAACUGUGCAAAGGUAGCAUAAUCAUUAGUCUUUUAAUUGAAGGCUGGUAUGAACGGUUGGACGAGGUAUAUACUGUUUCAUGUAAAUUUAUAUUAGAAUUUUAUAUUUUAGUCAAAAAGCUAAAAUAAUAUUAAAAGACGAGAAGACCCUAUAAAUCUUUAUAGUUAAUAGAAUUUAAAUUUUUUGGAUUUAUUUUAUUUUUAUUAUAUUAAAUAUUUUGUUGGGGUGAUGUUAAAAUUUAAUGAACUUUUAAUUAUUUAAGAUCAUUUAUUUAUGAAUUAUUGAUCCAUUAUUAGUGAUUAUAAGAUUAAGUUACUUUAGGGAUAACAGCGUAAUUUUUUUGGAGAGUUCAUAUCGAUAAARAAGUUUGCGACCUCGAUGUUGGAUUAAGAUAUAUUUUUAGGUGUAGUUGCUUAAAU